GAUGAACGCUGGCGGCGUGCCUAAUACAUGCAAGUCGAGCGAACAGACGAGGAGCUUGCUCCUCUGACGUUAGCGGCGGACGGGUGAGUAACACGUGGAUAACCUACCUAUAAGACUGGGAUAACUUCGGGAAACCGGAGCUAAUACCGGAUAAUAUAUUGAACCGCAUGGUUCAAUAGUGAAAGACGGUUUUGCUGUCACUUAUAGAUGGAUCCGCGCCGCAUUAGCUAGUUGGUAAGGUAACGGCUUACCAAGGCAACGAUGCGUAGCCGACCUGAGAGGGGGAUCGGCCACACGGGAACUGAGCCACGGUCCAGACUCCUACGGGAGGCAGCAGUAGGGAAUCUUCCGCAAUGGGCGAAAGCCUGACGGAGCAACGCCGCGUGAGUGAUGAAGGUCUUCGGAUCGUAAAACUCUGUUAUUAGGGAAGAACAAAUGUGUAAGUAACUAUGCACGUCUUGACGGUACCUAAUCAGAAAGCCACGGCUAACUGCGUG
RNAcentral lists this ribosomal RNA (497 nucleotides) under uncultured bacterium. RNAcentral describes it as "partial 16S ribosomal RNA". It matches the Rfam family "Bacterial small subunit ribosomal RNA", at positions 28 to 507 of the family's 1533-position model. The record is from RNAcentral.